Molecule: non-coding RNA, 45 nt
Filed under: Schistosoma haematobium
Lineage: Eukaryota; Metazoa; Platyhelminthes; Trematoda; Strigeidida; Schistosomatidae
Source: RNAcentral
AUCCAGCUGACGAGUUAUAAAUACGACGAAACGCGCGUCCUGGAU